GGAAUCUUCGGCAAUGGACGAAAGUCUGACCGAGCAACGUCGCGUGAGUGAAGAAGGUUUUCGGAUCGUAAAACUCUGUUGUUAGAGAAGAACAAGGGUGAGAGUAACUGUUCACCCCUUGACGGUAUCUAACCAGAAAGCCACGGCUAACUACGUGCUAG
RNAcentral lists this ribosomal RNA (161 nucleotides) under uncultured bacterium. RNAcentral describes it as "partial 16S rRNA". It matches the Rfam family "Bacterial small subunit ribosomal RNA", at positions 358 to 511 of the family's 1533-position model. The record is from RNAcentral.